This 4077-nucleotide unclassified non-coding RNA is filed under the name Camponotus floridanus (Florida carpenter ant). Its description in RNAcentral is "aTP-dependent DNA helicase Q5, transcript variant X1". The record is from RNAcentral. Lineage: Eukaryota; Metazoa; Arthropoda; Insecta; Hymenoptera; Formicidae.
AUGAAUGACAUAUAACCUUUCUUUUCGUAUGACAGUGUACGACGUAUUACAGAUACUAUUGUAUAGCGUGUGUGAAUAAUAUGAAUAUCAAGCUUAUUUUAUAAAGCCAUUGCACAAAAUAACAAUUGUGUCUAACACAUGAAAAGUAGCAAGUGUCACUAUUUGUUUUAUUGGUUUUAUUAUUGAAAAAACGAACAACGCACGCAAUAAAUAUAUAUAUGUAGAAUGUUGCAGAGCGUUUUAAAAUCAAAAUUCGGAUAUGACAGUUUUAAAAAUGACAUUCAAAAACAAGCCACCACUGCAAUUUACAAAGGAAAGCGAGAUGUAUUCGUGUGUAUGCCAACCGGUUCUGGAAAGUCUCUCUGUUUUCAAUUACCAGCAAUAAUGAGAGAACAAAAAGUUGCGAUUGUCUUUUCACCACUCCUAGCUUUGAUGAAGAAUCAAAUAGAUUUCUUAAUAUCUAAAAAAAUAAAUGCUUGUUCCUUGAAUUCCACUACAUCAAGCAAAGAAAGAAAUACAAUAAUGGAAGAUCUUAUGUCAAAUUCUCCUAAAAUUAAAUUAUUAUAUGUCACUCCAGAAAUGGGAGCACAAAAGCAUUUUCAGGAAAUUGUAACUAAAUUGUGCAAGAAGAAAGCACUUUCUUAUUUUGUUAUUGAUGAAGCUCAUUGCUUAAGUGAAUGGGGUCAUGAUUUUAGGCCAACUUAUAGGCAAUUGGGAACGUUCAAGAAAUUGUGUCCCAAAAUACCUAUGAUUGCAUUAACAGCAACUGCUGCAAAACAAGUAAAAGAUGAUAUUCUCCAAAGUUUGCAUAUGAAAGAUGCAUUGAUUUUCUCUCAGCCAGUAUUUCGUCCUAAUCUGUAUUAUGAUGUGUGGUUUCUAGAAACAUUAGAUAAACCAUUUGUACAUCUGAAAAACUUUAUUUUAGAUGCAUUAGGACCUUCAGAUAAUUCUAUUCCCAUGCAUAAAAGAAAUUGUGGUAUCAUUUAUUGUAGAAAAAAGGAAACAACUGAAAUUGUUGCACACAAAUUGACUCUUGCUGGCAUUACAACGCUGGCAUAUCAUGGGAGUUUGAAAGCUCAGGAACGUAAUGAAGUACAAAAUAAAUGGACGACAGGUGAAGUACCUGUCAUCACAGCAACAUGCAGCUUUGGAAUGGGUGUUGACAAAGGAUCUGUUAGAUUUGUAAUUCAUUGGACAGUACCAAAGAAUAUUGCAGCAUAUUAUCAAGAAUCAGGAAGAGCUGGCAGAGAUGGCAAUCCAGCAUUUUGCAGAGUUUAUUUUAGUAAUGAAGAAUAUGGACCUAUUUCAUUUCUUAUCAAGGAGGAAAUUGCACAUAAAAAUUCAGAACUUGCAAAAAUUAAGUGGCAAGAUUUCGAAAAAAGUGUUGCAUACUGUUUAGAGACAAAAUGCCGGCACGCAGUAUUUUCCAAGUAUUUCGGGGAUUCUCCUCCGCCUUGCAGAAAUAGAUGUGACAUAUGUAAAAACAAAGACGAAGUGCAAGCAAGAAUUGCGGAGUUUGAAAUGUAUCAGAGCACAACUAAAAAAUUCCGAAAUAACAUAGGCAGUGUAACACAAAUAAACUACAACGACAACGAAAAUGAUGAAUUCGAUGAGUCAGGAGAAUCAAGAGAGAAGAUUAUAGCUGUUGAAAAGCAAGAGAGAAAAGAACUUAUUAUGAAACAGUUUGCACUUCGACGUAGUGCAUCUAAAGAGGACAAGAUAAAGCGAGAAAACCUUGAAUACGCAAAAAUAGCGCAUGUCCGUGCAGCUGAUAGUACAGAUAAAAAAAUAAAAGGCUUAACCGUUCAAGUGCGGGAACACUUUUACAAUGAAUUGAAAGUAGCAUUAUUUGAGAAUUAUCAAUAUUCUUCAAAAAAUAAUAAACAAGAACUUCAAGAGAAGGAUAUUCAUGAUAUGACUAAUAACAUAGAAUACGAAAUAUUUUCCAGUACUAAAGUACCAAAUAAGUACAAGCUUGAUAUGUCUAGAUUGAUUUCAUCGAUACGAAAAUGUACUAAUGAUAAUACUAUCUACAAAAAAAUACGUGAUUAUAGUAAAAUAGAGUGUCAUGACAUAGAAUUUAAUAAUUCUAACAAUAUAGAGACAUUUAAAGAACAAGAAUCUAAUAUAAUUAAAACUGAAUUUAACGAGAACACUUGCUUGUCAAACGAAUGUAGUAAAUCAAUUUUCCCUUCUGUCUUUAAAACUGCAUUAGAGGUUUUAAAUGAGGAAAAGCUACGAACAUUUACAUCAGACAAGAAUGAAAAGAUAUCGUUGAAAAAAUUAUGUGUUAAAAAUGUCAAAAUAAAGCAAAUUAAAAAUGAAACAUCUAUUAUUAAUUUUAAUAGUACGCAAAAAAAUACAUGUAAAAGCGAAACUCCAUUAAUGCAAAUGUCAAAUGAUUUUGUCUGUGCACGAAAAAUUUAUGAUGAUAACACAUCCAACUUUAGUACAAGUUCUUCUAAAUCAAAAGCUAAUACAAGUUUCUCUAAACCUAAAGUUCGCAGGAGUAAAACAGAUAAAGUAAAAAAACCGGAUAAAACAGUUUAUGAACAAAUUUUAGCAUCAGCACGAUCAGUAUCAAAAAAAACUACAGAUGAAAAAGAAGAUAUUUUUCUCGAUACAGAAUCAAAAGUUGACAGUGCUGGAUAUAUUAAAAGCAAAGAUGAGAUUAAGAAUAAAAAUAAAAAUAAAAGAGAUUACGAAAUCAUGGAACACCAUGAGGAUGAUAUGAACCCUGCUAAGAAAAGAAAAAUUGUACAUAAUGAAUGCAAUGAUGAAACUAAUAAUUACGUAUCUAAUAAAAAUAUCGAUAAAAAGAUUUUAGAUGACGAGUUUGAAACAGAAAUAGUUAAGGAAAGAAAUGCAGUUAUAAAUAUUAAUACUAUAAAUGAUGAUUUAUCGAUGCCCGAAAAUAAUAAAACGACAAAGGAUUUGGGAGAAGAUACCACUAAUACAAUAAAUGAUGAUUUAUCGAUGGAAAAAAAUAAAACGAGGAAGCACUUGGAAGAAGUUAAUGUAGAAUUAAAGAAGAAAGAAAAAACUGCUCAUUUAUUUAAUUUAAAACAGCACGAAAAAGAUAAAAGUAAUAAUAGACUGAAAGUACCUGCAGAUAAAGUUAUGCAAUUUAAAACAGCAGAAAUUUUAAAAUCGUAUCUAAUGAAAUAUUAUCCAUCGGAACGUCUCCCAGAUAGAGCAACAUUCUCAAAAACUUGCAGAGAAAUGCACUACAGUAUGUUAAGAAAAAAAAUAUUUGAUAAAGAAGGAAUACAUAAUUUUGUUGUAAGCUUUAUGAACCAAUCUUGAAAGAUUUUUUAUUUUAUAUCUAAUCGUAUUUCUAUUUAUUGUUAGGCAAGCAAUAUAAAAGUAAUGAAAACUUUUUCGAAAUAAAUACAUAAUCCUUUUUACUUCGUAAAGUUAUUGACAUUUGUAUUAUUCAAAAAAAACGCGGGAAUCGAUCAAUGUUACGUCACAUUUAAUACACGACUUCAUGUUGGUAAUCGUGAACAGUAAUAGACGCGUCGCGCACGAAAAAUCGUUCGGGAAAAAUCUAUAUGAAAAUUUGAUUUAAAAACGUAAUCGAAUAAUUAUUACAGUGAAAUUUUGAUGUACUUUGUGUUGCGAGUGGAGACGGAUUAAUAUUUUCCGGAUAUCGUCGAUAGUUUACGUGCGGGAAAUAAUUUUGUAUGAUGUAUUUCGUCAACGGAUGCGCAUUAUUAAGAGAGGCCGAAAAUCGUCGAGGCGGGAAUCGUGUUUGCGUCACAUUCGAUUUAUCACAUUUUUAGGUUGAUAGUCAUGAGCGAUAUAAUAGACGCGUCGCGCAAAAAUUAUUCGGUAAAGCAUCUAAGCAUCAAAUUUGAUUUGAAAAGAUAAUUAAAUAAUUAUUACAGUAGAAUUAUGUAUUUCAAGUGAAGUAAUGUUUUCUAAAUAUUAUUGAUAAUUUAAAAAUAAUUUCACGUAUAUAUUAUGUGGACAGAUGCGCAUCGUUAAAAGGUAAAUCUUGAGUAAUGGCACAAAUAAUGAUAGAAAGUAAUUAAUUGAAUAAUAAUACUAUUGAAAUACGAAAUACAAUUAUGA